RNAcentral lists this unclassified non-coding RNA (329 nucleotides) under Hevea brasiliensis (rubber tree). Lineage: Eukaryota; Viridiplantae; Streptophyta; Magnoliopsida; Malpighiales; Euphorbiaceae. The record is from RNAcentral.
CACACACUCACAUAUUUGCAGGCGCUACAAAUCUAUAGAAAGGGCUGUCAGUAGAAUAUUGAGUUGUGCCAAGAUUACAAAACAACUUAGUUGACUCGAGUAUGAUAUGCUUGCUUGCAUAGUAUGCAAAAUUUGGUCUGUGUGGUAAUACAUAUAUGGUGGAAUACUAUAUAGAGUCAAUUUAGAGAUUAUAUAUCAUCAUGCAGUGUUAAAUAUUUUAAUGAGUGAGUUGGGUGUUUUAUUUGUUUAAAUGAGUGAGUUGGGUGUUUUAUUUGUUUAUUUUAUGAAUCGAUCAGCUUGGUUUCUGACUUUUUUUUUUUUUUUGGUUU